Molecule: ribosomal RNA, 419 nt
Filed under: uncultured Prevotella sp.
Lineage: Bacteria; Pseudomonadati; Bacteroidota; Bacteroidia; Bacteroidales; Prevotellaceae
Description: bacterial SSU rRNA
Rfam family: Bacterial small subunit ribosomal RNA
Source: RNAcentral
GGAAUAUUGGUCAAUGGGCGCGCGCCUGAACCAGCCAAGUAGCGUGCAGGACGACGGCCCUACGGGUUGUAAACUGCUUUUAUCAGGGGAUAAAGUGCGGCACGUGUGCCGGUUUGUAGGUACCUGAUGAAUAAGGACCGGCUAAUUCCGUGCCAGCAGCCGCGGUAAUACGGAAGGUCCGGGCGUUAUCCGGAUUUAUUGGGUUUAAAGGGAGCGCAGGCGGCUUGUUAAGCGUGACGUGAAAUGUACCGGCUCAACCGGUGACUUGCGUCGCGAACUGGCUGGCUUGAGUGCGUACGAGGAUGGCGGAAUUCGUGGUGUAGCGGUGAAAUGCUUAGAUAUCACGAAGAACUCCGAUUGCGAAGGCAGCUGUCCAGUCCGUAACUGACGCUAAUGCUCGAAGGUGCGGGUAUCGAACA